RNAcentral lists this long non-coding RNA (1831 nucleotides) under Homo sapiens (human). Its description in RNAcentral is "HSALNT0393664". Lineage: Eukaryota; Metazoa; Chordata; Mammalia; Primates; Hominidae. The record is from RNAcentral.
AAAGAACACUCCUUUUUAUUCCACGGAAACCAUAAUUCCCAAGCCAGUGAGAUUAUCUGUGGUCUUUUCUCUUUAUCCCCUCCUUUUGCCCUUUAGGGGAGAGAAGAGUGUGGAGGGAGGAAUCGGGGAAGCCCAGUGCCGUACUGAUGCUCUGGACUUUGUUUUUGGAGGUAGCCUGUGAUGCAGGGCAGAAAAGAGCUGAUGCCUUGGAGAGAGACUGGGAGAGGCUGGAGUUAAUAGAGGUGCCCACGCACCCAAAGGGCCAGCUCCUGCAUUUUUUCACUUCACCGAUGCCAAAGCCACUUUGCCCACCUUUGCAGCAGACGCAGGGAAUUAACUAUCUCAAGAAGUGGCCCUUAGUUAUUAACUGAUGGCAGCUGGUCCCAGGGUAUCCAAGAAGCUGUCAUCCAGGUCUUCUCCAAUGAAGCUACAACAACCCACAGAGCCAGCAGGGGAACCUACACCUUCGAUGUCAUAUAUGAGCAAACAGUCAUUAGAUGGGCGUCCUUCAUCUUCAUCUGCAUGGACUUAUUUAUAAUUGUGUACUUUGGACAUAAAACCAUACACAAAAAAAUCACAUGAAUUGGUUUCGAGGAGGAGCCAAGAUGGCCGAAUAGGAACAGCUCUGGUCUACAGCUCCCAGCGUGAGCGACGCAGAAGACGGGUGAUUUCUGCAUUUCCAUCUGAGAUGGAGUGAAUAUGAUGAUUCUGUGAAGGUUUAUUGCAACAUGACUUUUUCAGCACAGCAACAGGAAAAUUUGACUCUGGGUCUGUUCUACAAAAUUAAAGUCGUGGGAUGCUCGUGAAUUAAGAAACAACCAAAAAUGCCAAAUAUUGAGACUCUUGAAAUCAAAUUAAGUAUGAUCUGAGAUUAAGAACUUCUGAGAAGAAUUUAAGCAUGAACAUAUAUAUUGACAUGAAGUCCACUUACAAUGAAGAAAGGAGUGACCUCUCGAUCAACUAUGGAUGUUAUAUUAAUUUCACCAGUUUUCUGAUUAAUGACAAAGAUCCCAUAUGGUGGCUGAUCAAUUCCUACUCCAGAGAUGCGGGUCUGUGCUUGCACUGGAGCUACAGAAGGAAACUCUUUGCCCUCUUAAGGAGUUUAUCAAUGUUGUCAUCAUGCAACUUUAAUCUUCAAUUUGUUUUAAAUGUAAAGUUUUCGAAGAAAGUAGAUUUAUUUAGGUGACAAGAGUUAUCUGGGUUUGAGUGGAAGCUCUGAAUUCUGAAAAUGGGAAGGGUGUAUUAGCAGAAAAGGAAGGAGACCACGCGAAUAAAUGGUUAUAGAAACCAGAACUCUUUCUUUGAAAUAAAAUAUUGUUUGGCUGUAAACAAAUCCUAGUGGGGAGUAUUUGUGAGUGUCUGUGUGGAUGAAUGUGUAUAUUCGUGUGUGUAUCUGUGGACGUGUACAUCUGUAUGUUCAUGAAUUUGUGGGGGGUGUUUCUGAGUGUGUGUGUAUGUAGAAAGGAAGAUAUGGAAAAAUGAAUAGAAAAGGGGUAUGAGAGAGGGCACCUUGUGAAUGUUAAUAAACAAACAAAAAAGUAGGAAUUCAAUUCUAAUACAUUGUGAGGCAAAAAGAGCACACAUUGAAGUAAUUCCUUUGAAUGUGCUGAAAGCCAAAUUCUUUAUUAAAAUAAUGAUCUUUUUUCAUCUGGAGUUUGGGAUAACACAUGAUCAUGUGUAUGCAUUUCACCAAUGAGGUGAGUCAACGUUUGCCUGUUUCUCUGAGCACCUGCAUUUCUUAAUUUCUCCUUAUGAGUUUCAGUUUUCAUCAUCUAGGUGACUAUAGUUCUGUUCUGUAUCGUAGCUUCUCGGUGAGACAUGUUCAUGAAAU